UGGGGAAUAUUGCACAAUGGGCGAAAGCCUGAUGCAGCGACGCCGCGUGAGGGAUGACGGCCUUCGGGUUGUAAACCUCUUUCAGCAGGGACGAAGCGCAAGUGACGGUACCUGCAGAAGAAGCACCGGCUAACUACGUGCCAGCAGCCGCGGUAAUACGUAGGGUGCAAGCGUUGUCCGGAAUUACUGGGCGUAAAGAGUUCGUAGGCGGUUUGUCGCGUCGUUUGUGAAAACCAGCAGCUCAACUGCUGGCUUGCAGGCGAUAGGGGCAGACUUGAGUACUGCAGGGGAGACUGGAAUUCCUGGUGUAGCGGUGAAAUGCGCAGAUAUCAGGAGGAACACCGGUGGCGAAGGCGGGUCUCUGGGCAGUAACUGACGCUGAGGAACGAAAGCGUGGGUAGCGAACAGG
Molecule: ribosomal RNA, 409 nt
Filed under: bacterium
Lineage: Bacteria
Description: partial 16S ribosomal RNA
Rfam family: Bacterial small subunit ribosomal RNA
Source: RNAcentral